CAGUCGAACGCAGUAGCAAUACUGAGUGGCAGACGGGUGAGUAACAUGUGGGAAUCUGCCUUGUGGUUCAGGACAACAUUGGGAAACCGAUGCUAAUACUGGAUAAGCCCUUACGGGGAAAGUUUUAAUGCCAUAAGAUGAGCCCGCAUUUGAUUAGUUAGUUGGUGAGGUAAUGGCUCACCAAGACAAUGAUCAAUAGCUGAUCUGAGAGGAUGAUCAGCCACACUGGGACUGAGACACGGCCCAGACUCCUACGGGAGGCAGCAGUGGGGAAUCUUGCACAAUGGAGGAAACUCUGGUGCAGCGAUGCCGCGUGAGUGAAGAAGGCCUUUGGGUUGUAAAGCUCUUUUGUAGGGGAAGAUAAUGACUGUACCCUAAGAAUAAGGUCCGGCUAACUUCGUGCCAGCAGCCGCGGUAAUACGAAGGGACCUAGCGUAGUUCGGAAUUACUGGGCGUAAAGCGCGCGUAGGCCGUUGAGUUAGUUAAUUGUGAAAUCCCAAAGCUUAACUUUGGAACUGCAAUUAAAACUGCUCGACUAGAGUUUGAUAGAGGAAAGCGGAAUACAUAGUGUAGAGGUGAAAUUCGUAGAUAUUAUGUAGAACACCAGUUGCGAAGGCGGCUUUCUGGAUCAACACUGACGCUGAGGCGCGAAAGUAUGGGUAGCAAAGAGGAUUAGAUACCCUCGUAGUCCAUACCAUAAACGAUGAUUGCUAGAUGUUGGAAAUUUAUUUUCAGUAUCGCAGCUAACGCAUUAAGCAAUCCGCCUGGGGAGUACGACCGCAAGGUUAAAACUCAAAUGAAUUGACGGG
Molecule: ribosomal RNA, 809 nt
Filed under: uncultured bacterium
Lineage: Bacteria
Description: bacterial SSU rRNA
Rfam family: Bacterial small subunit ribosomal RNA
Source: RNAcentral